AACAUACUCCCUCCGUCCUAAAUUACUUGUCUUAAAUUUGUCUAGAUAUGGAUGUACCUAGACAUGUUUUAUGUUAGAUACAUCCGUAUCUAGAUAAAUCUAAGACAAGUAAUUUGGGACGGAGGGAGUAUAUA
Non-coding RNA from Hordeum vulgare subsp. vulgare (domesticated barley), 134 nucleotides. NCBI's taxonomy places the organism in Eukaryota, Viridiplantae, Streptophyta, Magnoliopsida, Poales, Poaceae. The record is from Rfam.